RNAcentral lists this ribosomal RNA (409 nucleotides) under Brucella melitensis. Its description in RNAcentral is "partial 16S ribosomal RNA". It matches the Rfam family "Bacterial small subunit ribosomal RNA", at positions 355 to 776 of the family's 1533-position model. Lineage: Bacteria; Pseudomonadati; Pseudomonadota; Alphaproteobacteria; Hyphomicrobiales; Brucellaceae. The record is from RNAcentral. RNAcentral also lists the same sequence under 1 other name.
UGGGGAAUAUUGCACAAUGGGCGAAAGCCUGAUGCAGCGACGCCGCGUGAGGGAUGACGGCCUUCGGGUUGUAAACCUCUUUCAGCAGGGACGAAGCGCAAGUGACGGUACCUGCAGAAGAAGCACCGGCUAACUACGUGCCAGCAGCCGCGGUAAUACGUAGGGUGCAAGCGUUGUCCGGAAUUACUGGGCGUAAAGAGUUCGUAGGCGGUUUGUCGCGUCGUUUGUGAAAACCAGCAGCUCAACUGCUGGCUUGCAGGCGAUACGGGCAGACUUGAGUACUGCAGGGGAGACUGGAAUUCCUGGUGUAGCGGUGAAAUGCGCAGAUAUCAGGAGGAACACCGGUGGCGAAGGCGGGUCUCUGGGCAGUAACUGAUGCUGAGGAACGAAAGCGUGGGUAGCGAACAGG